Molecule: ribosomal RNA, 425 nt
Filed under: uncultured bacterium
Lineage: Bacteria
Description: partial 16S ribosomal RNA
Rfam family: Bacterial small subunit ribosomal RNA
Source: RNAcentral
GUGGGGAAUCUUGCGCAAUGGGCGAAAGCCUGACGCAGUCAUGCCGCGUGAAUGAUGAAGGUCUUAGGAUUGUAAAAUUCUUUCACCGGGGACGAUAAUGACGGUACCCGGAGAAGAAGCCCCGGCUAACUUCGUGCCAGCAGCCGCGGUAAUACGAAGGGGGCUAGCGUUGCUCGGAAUUACUGGGCGUAAAGGGCGCGUAGGCGGACAGUUUAGUCAGAGGUGAAAGCCCAGGGCUCAACCUUGGAAUUGCCUUUGAUACUGGCUGUCUUGAGUACGGGAGAGGUGAGUGGAACUCCGAGUGUAGAGGUGAAAUUCGUAGAUAUUCGGAAGAACACCAGUGGCGAAGGCGACUCACUGGCCCGUUACUGACGCUGAGGCGCGAAAGCGUGGGGAGCAAACAGGAUUAGAAACCCGUGUAGUCC